Passer montanus (Eurasian tree sparrow) is the source of this 2165-nucleotide long non-coding RNA. RefSeq lists it as uncharacterized. NCBI's taxonomy places the organism in Eukaryota, Metazoa, Chordata, Aves, Passeriformes, Passeridae. The record is from RefSeq and is a predicted model, not a curated record. The transcript is spliced from 3 exons.
CAGCAGGUUGUGCCAGGUUUACUGGAGAAAUGCCACUGAGCAGAGGGUGGUAUUUGCCUAAGGCUUCCAGGAGCAAUGCUGCACACCCCUUUCCCCUGCCUCUCCUUCCCAUGAAAUCUCAAUUCUGGUGAAAGGAAAACGUAUAAGUCUAGACUGAAGAAAUAAUUAGAAACAUGAAACGGAUGAAUCAGACUCCAGAAAAUAAAAAAGGUGACAUUUCUUUGAGGCCCUUCCAGGACCAGCCAGUUAUUCUGAUCCACAGAGUGAGAUUGUGCUCUUCUCUUGUUUACAAUGAUUCACAUAAAACCCAGGAUCUCUGAGAAGCUAGUGGCUGUUGGAGCCCAGGGCAGGGAGCAGCAGGAAGCAUGGCCAGGCCCUUUCCCCAUGUGAGGCAGUGCAUCCCUCAAAUUUGGCUCACACUCUUCCUCCAGCCUGCCUCACUUUUCAUCAGAUCUGUUGGCUCCCACUGGACUGAGUGCUGAUACUGCACCACAGACCAGAGGGAUGAAGAGGAAGGCUGCCUGCUGCUGACAAGCUGCUUGGAGAGUAGGAAAUUUAGGUGUUCUGUGAUGUUUAAUGCUGAAACAUCAUCAUUACUUGAUAUAGUGCCUAGUCCUGAAUCUGACACCCUGGCACAAAGCUGCUACAUAUCAAAUAUGCCUGAAUUACUGCAGACUCUGAAAGCCCCUCCCAGCUCUAGGGCAUCCCCUCAGUCAACAGGAUUUUCCUGACCUGCUCAUUGCAGGAGUGAGACAAGCCAGAGAGCAAGGCUGGAAUCUCUCACACAGCAGAGAAAGGCCAGUUCCUCCUUUCCAUGUUCUCACUCCCUUCACCUGUGCCUUUCCUUCCUCCUUCCUUCCCUUCUGCAUCUGCAAAGCCUUGGAGGUAUAACCCUGCACCCAUCUUUCCUGGCUAUUCUCUUCUCCAUGGCUUCCCUUGCACAUGGACACAGGUGUGGGAGACAGAUAAAACAGGAUGCCAUCAGGGAAGAAAGUUUAUUUACAGACCACUGGAGUGAAGGGCACUAUUUGUGCAUGCAGUGCCUCUCCUUCUCUAGAUGAGGAGCUGGCAAGGGUCUGUAAUACAGCUCUGGCUGCAGCAGCAUGGACACUGACAGCCUGCAGACGAGCUUGCUGACAAGCUGUGAAAAGCCAAAAAGGUCUUUGCCUCAAAUAAGACCCUGGCUGGACAGAAGCAUGAGCUGGCCAUGCAGGAUCUUGUAACGUUACAUUAUUGACUUGUAGUGAGGUGAAUGGGUGAAGUGACAGUGAACUUGGCCUGUAAAAUUCUGAAGUACAUUUUUUUCUGGACUCUACUAAGGGAGUACAACAUGUUUAUUCUGCUAUUUGUGUGCUAUUAUCUGCUCUUUGUGCUGGGAUUCAGUAAUUUCUUCCUUGUCUCUGUUCCCUUUGUGUCCAGAGCCUGACUAAUUUUGCAUAAAGUGCUAGGGGAUGUUGGUUGAGGAUGACUGUGAAAGGUGAGUGGCACAGCCUGUGUGCCAGCAUUCAUUUCCUGGUGGAAAUAAAGUGUGGGUGCAGUGAGUGUGUGUACCCAACCAAAUUGUAGACAAUGUUGUGGGUGUUUGGCAUUGUUAACUCAAGUUUAUAUGUGCGUCUACCUCCUAAGAGCUCUGUGGACACAGCCUUAGAUGACAAUUAGCUUUGCACUGCCAGCUCUGUCCUUUAAAUUAUGCCUGUACUUUAUUUCUGGAAACCUGAAACAGACAUGAGAGGAAGAAAAACUGGUCUCUAUUUUAGAACAGCUUGAAUCUAUGAGGUGUAAAGUUCUUGAUAAAUGGGAAGACAUGAACGCACUAGAGACAGUGAAGGAAGAAAUAGUGGUUUAUGCCAUGACGGUGCAUAUGAUGGCCAAGACCCUUAGAAAAAUAUGGACAAAAAAAAAAUUCUAAACGUGUCCUAGUAAGAUUUCUGAAGAAGUAUUGGUGUCCAUGUAGGUACAACCAUGACAGACCUUUUAGCACUGAGAUAUUGUCCCUCAGUGGUCUUUAUUUUAUCCUCACAGACAAUAUAUGCCUAAUUUGGGUGCUUCUAUGCUCACCACAGCAUCUUGCCUCUGCCCCUGCCAUGGGAGGUUUGUAGGCUGACCUUUACUAUGUCAGAUGGUCAUCUACAGACAUAGGGGUUAUUUCUGUAUUCAUGCUACAG